Molecule: microRNA, 20 nt
Filed under: Ictalurus punctatus (channel catfish)
Lineage: Eukaryota; Metazoa; Chordata; Actinopteri; Siluriformes; Ictaluridae
Also listed under: 1 other name
Description: ipu-miR-365
Gene: ipu-miR-365
Source: miRBase by way of RNAcentral
AGGGACUUUUAGGGGCAGCU